GUGCCAGCCGCCGCGGUAAAACGUAGGACGCAAACGUUAUCCGGAAUUACUGGGCGUAAAGAGCGUGUAGGCGGUUUGGUAAGUCAACCGUGAAAGCUCCCGGCUAAACUGGGAGAGGUCGGCUGAGACUGUCAGACUAGAGGGUGUUAGAGGGAUGCGGAAUUCCGGGUGUAGUGGUGAAAUGCGUAGAGAUCCGGAGGAACACCAGAGGCGAAGGCGGCAUCCUGGGACAUUACUGACGCUGAGACGCGAAAGCAUGGGGAGCGAACGGGAUUAGAAACCCCGGUAGUCC
This 292-nucleotide ribosomal RNA is filed under the name uncultured bacterium. RNAcentral's name for it is "partial 16S ribosomal RNA". It matches the Rfam family "Bacterial small subunit ribosomal RNA", at positions 505 to 796 of the family's 1533-position model. The record is from RNAcentral.